Molecule: transfer RNA, 67 nt
Filed under: uncultured Ruminococcus sp.
Lineage: Bacteria; Bacillati; Bacillota; Clostridia; Eubacteriales; Oscillospiraceae
Rfam family: tRNA
About the family: Transfer RNA (tRNA) molecules are approximately 80 nucleotides in length. Their secondary structure includes four short double-helical elements and three loops (D, anti-codon, and T loops).
Source: RNAcentral
GCUAUAGCUCAGCUGGAUAGAGCAACCGCCUCCUAAGCGGUAGGCCGGAGGUUCAAAUCCUCUUAGC